GGGAUCGUAGCUCAAUGGCAGAGCAACCGCAUGUAUUCGGCUUCCCCGACUCGCGCGACGCGAUCGCGCCCCCACCCGGAAAGCCUACACACGCAUCGGAAUGUUAAUCCGGUGGUUGCAGGUUCGAAUCCUGCCGAUCCCG
Molecule: transfer RNA, 142 nt
Filed under: Polyangiaceae bacterium LLY-WYZ-15_(1-7)
Lineage: Bacteria; Pseudomonadati; Myxococcota; Polyangiales; Polyangiaceae
Description: tRNA-OTHER
Rfam family: tRNA
About the family: Transfer RNA (tRNA) molecules are approximately 80 nucleotides in length. Their secondary structure includes four short double-helical elements and three loops (D, anti-codon, and T loops).
Source: RNAcentral